Long non-coding RNA from Cyprinus carpio (common carp), 1317 nucleotides. The record is from Ensembl. Lineage: Eukaryota; Metazoa; Chordata; Actinopteri; Cypriniformes; Cyprinidae.
GCGUUCCCCAUGAAGAGCAGAAGUUUCUGCAAAGAAUGAAAGGAUUUGUAGCACUAAAAAUCGCUUGCAGUAGCUCUGCUACUAAAUUUAUUUAAAACUGGCUGUCCCUGUACAGCUAUGAUGAGCUGUACCUUCAUCUUGGCUGAGCUUUCAAUGGAUGAAGCUGAUUGGUUGGUUCUUGUCACAUGACCCGCGUCGCUUCCAAAAUGAACGCACCUGCCGCGCGUCUACAUUUGAAAUAACGACCUCGAGCGCGCAAAAGACUUGAUAUGUGAACGGCCCCGUUCAAAUGAUUCAAAGCGCCAAACGCGAGCAGAAUCAGCGCUGGAACGUGUUACUCGACCCGGUGACUUUUUAUGAAUGGUUAAACAUGGCAUCCUGACAACAUCCCAUACAUCACUAGCCUUUGUUAAGUGCUAGUAGAGGUUCACAUUGUGCUAUCUGCUCAUUCAUCUGCCAUAAUUCAAUACCACAGUGACUGUGUCCGUACAAUUCCCUGAAAUGUCUUCCUGCUCUGAGACAUGCUCUCUGGACCAGACAAACGGUAUUUCUGGAAAACCCCAGGAGGGGUAAGGCCCACGCAUCAGGGACACUGCUGGAAUGAGAGAGGGGUGUGUGUGUGUGAGAGAGAGUUUGAUGCUGCUGUUCCUGCAGUAGUCCUGUAGUCACCCUCGUUGAGCUGGUGAGCCGGUCGGCUGCUGCUGUUGCUGAUACUGCUGCAGGAGAGGAUUCCUAUCUGAUGCUGGGAUAGUCACAAAUACUACAGCAGAGAGAGACGAAGAAAGGUGGAGGUUUCCGCUAACCUUCCUGGGUUCCCCGCUUUGUUUUUAAAAGCACACAGGAGGAAAAAGACUCUUCAGGUGUGAAGAGGAACUCUGAGAGAGGAGGCGCACUUGGCUGGACUGCGCUAGGGGGCGAAGGUAGGGGAUCUUUACUUUUUUUGGGGCAGGGGAGAGAAGACAUGGGACACUAUAUAACGGAGUAGUUGUUUGAGUUUAUGUAUGGCGGUAAGAUUAAAUCUAAGAGGUUGUAUUAAGUCUGAGUUGUGUGGGUACACUGCAGGCACUAUGUCAGGGCUUUUAGCUCGGAGUGGGUGUAUAGGCUUCAGAAUGUGUGUGUGUGUGUGUGAGUGAGUUAGGUUCUGCCUACAUUUAAGUGCACUAAAUGUACUCAUAGUUAGAAAAAAACAGAAAUUAAUGAUAUUGUUGGUAUUGGAGGAAAACGUCUAAUUAGUUAAUUAAGCAUAUACUUAUACUACUAGUACUACUGCUAGUUAUUUUAAUAAUUAGAUUUUAUUAAAAAUAAUAAUUCUAAAAG